Molecule: ribosomal RNA, 406 nt
Filed under: uncultured bacterium
Lineage: Bacteria
Description: partial 16S ribosomal RNA
Rfam family: Bacterial small subunit ribosomal RNA
Source: RNAcentral
AUUGAACGCUGGCGGCAGGCCUAACACAUGCAAGUCGAGCGACCGGCGGACGGGUGCGUCAUGUAUGGGGAACUGCCCGAUGGGGGUGACUAACUACUGGAAACGGUGGCUAAUACCGCAUACAGUCAGAUUUACCCCUAUGGGAUUAGCUAGUAGGUUAGGUAACGGCUCACCUAGGCGACGAGCCCUAGCUGGUCUGAGAGGAUGAUCAGCCACACUGGAACUGAGACACGGCCCAGACUCCUACGGGAGGCAGCAGUGGGGAAUAUUGCACAAUGGGCGAAAGCCUGAUGCAGCCAUGCCGCGUGUAUGAAGAAGGCCUUAGGGUUGUAAAGUACUUUCAGUGGGGAGGCGUUACCGACAGAAGAAGCACCGGCUAACUCCGUGCCAGCCGCCGCGGUAAUAC